CAGGCCGCGGGCGGGGCGGGGCGGGGCGGGUGGCGUUUCCGUUGCUUGGAGUGGGCCGAGAGCAGCUGCCCGGAGCCUGCAGCGCUCGCAUCCCUGCCCUGCCCCGCGCGCCGCCGUCCCGCGCCCCCGCGGCUUCCCCGGAGGUUCGGAGCACUCGGAUCCGUCUGCCACCCGUGGGUUUGCAUCACCUUUUCCUGACCUGAGCAGUCGCCAUGGCACAGUCCUCCUCCACUAGCACUGAAAUAGCUGGGGGUCUACCAACCGUUACGGAGAGGAGAGAAGUAGUCUAACAUGAGGCUUCCUAGUCUUUCUCGAAGGUAACACACUGAUUAACUGUAUCUUCUCCAUGACAUACAAGAAAACUCUGAAUUACAAUUACAUGUAAACAGUUCGUG
This 395-nucleotide long non-coding RNA is filed under the name Suricata suricatta (meerkat). RNAcentral's name for it is "lncRNA (ENSSSUG00005000719.1)". The record is from RNAcentral. Lineage: Eukaryota; Metazoa; Chordata; Mammalia; Carnivora; Herpestidae.